UACGUAGGGUGCGAGCGUUGUCCGGAAUUAUUGGGCGUGAAGGGCUCGUAGGCGGUUUGUCGCGUCGGGAGUGAAAACGCCGUGCUUAACACGGCGCUUGCUUUCGAUACGGGCAGACUAGAGGUAUGCAGGGGAGAACGGAAUUCCUGGUGUAGCGGUGAAAUGCGCAGAUAUCAGGAGGAACACCGGUGGCGAAGGCGGUUCUCUGGGCAUUACCUGACGCUGAGGAGCGAAAGUGUGGGGAGCGAACAGG
RNAcentral lists this ribosomal RNA (253 nucleotides) under uncultured bacterium. Its description in RNAcentral is "partial 16S ribosomal RNA". It matches the Rfam family "Bacterial small subunit ribosomal RNA", at positions 524 to 776 of the family's 1533-position model. The record is from RNAcentral.